This 71-nucleotide transfer RNA is filed under the name Phrynosoma platyrhinos (Desert horned lizard). RNAcentral's name for it is "tRNA-OTHER". It matches the Rfam family "tRNA". Rfam says of the family: Transfer RNA (tRNA) molecules are approximately 80 nucleotides in length. Their secondary structure includes four short double-helical elements and three loops (D, anti-codon, and T loops). Lineage: Eukaryota; Metazoa; Chordata; Lepidosauria; Squamata; Phrynosomatidae. The record is from RNAcentral.
GCCAGCAUGGCUUAGUGGUUUGAGUGUUGGGCUGUAAUUCUGGAGACCAGGGUUUGAUUCCCUGCUUGGCC